RNAcentral lists this transfer RNA (64 nucleotides) under uncultured Eubacterium sp. It matches the Rfam family "tRNA", at positions 6 to 65 of the family's 71-position model. From Rfam's summary of the family: Transfer RNA (tRNA) molecules are approximately 80 nucleotides in length. Their secondary structure includes four short double-helical elements and three loops (D, anti-codon, and T loops). Further hydrogen bonds mediate the characteristic L-shaped molecular structure. tRNAs have two regions of fundamental functional importance: the anti-codon, which is responsible for specific mRNA codon recognition, and the 3' end, to which the tRNAs corresponding amino acid is attached (by aminoacyl-tRNA synthetases). tRNAs cope with the degeneracy of the genetic code in two manners: having more than one tRNA (with a specific anti-codon) for a particular amino acid; and 'wobble' base-pairing, i.e. permitting non-standard base-pairing at the 3rd anti-codon position. The record is from RNAcentral. Lineage: Bacteria; Bacillati; Bacillota; Clostridia; Eubacteriales; Eubacteriaceae. RNAcentral also lists the same sequence under 2 other names.
CGUAGCUCAGCUGGAUAGAGCAACGGCCUUCUAAGCCGUGGGUCGGGGGUUCGAAUCCCUUUGG